Molecule: long non-coding RNA, 474 nt
Organism: Amphimedon queenslandica
Lineage: Eukaryota; Metazoa; Porifera; Demospongiae; Haplosclerida; Niphatidae
Exons: 3
Source: RefSeq, a predicted model, not a curated record
CUCGAACGGAGUUAGCUAGUAAGUCUUGGAAUCAUAAUAGUGUAUUGUUUGUUACAUGGACUGAAACUAUUCUCGUGUCAAUGUAAUGAGAAAUGACUGAGAUAAUAGCCAAAAACUAGUUUUUUUUUUAUAUUAAUUUUGUAACCACCUUUUUGAGACUUCUGCACCAGGUAUGAACAAGUUACUACUUUGAGUGUAUUCAUUAAGGCCUCUUAUAUAGACUGUUUAUGGUUUCAUUUUUCUAGAUGCUAUGUUUCAAAAUGAGAACUGAGUAGUGAAAGAAUAGGUUAUUUACCAAGAAACACAAGCAGGAUUUCAGUGGCAUUGAUGAGACAUUGUUACAUGAUGGUAAAGCUUUAUAUUUAUGCUACCACAGAGAACUAUCAAGAUAGAGAUGAUGUACAUUACAGUAUGUACUGUAUGGUGAUACAUUAAAAUUUGUUGAAGGACUCAUAAUAAUAAUCAAUCUAUUGG